RNAcentral lists this ribosomal RNA (450 nucleotides) under uncultured bacterium. Its description in RNAcentral is "bacterial SSU rRNA". It matches the Rfam family "Bacterial small subunit ribosomal RNA", at positions 354 to 796 of the family's 1533-position model. The record is from RNAcentral.
GUGGGGAAUAUUGGACAAUGGGCGAAAGCCUGAUCCAGCAAUGCCGCGUGUGUGAAGAAGGCCUUCGGGUUGUAAAGCACUUUUGUCCGGAAAGAAAUGGCCUGGGUUAAUACCCCGGGUCGAUGACGGUACCGGAAGAAUAAGCACCGGCUAACUACGUGCCAGCAGCCGCGGUAAUACGUAGGGUGCGAGCGUUAAUCGGAAUUACUGGGCGUAAAGCGUGCGCAGGCGGCGAUGCAAGACAGAUGUGAAAUCCCCGGGCUCAACCUGGGAACUGCAUUUGUGACUGCAGGGCUAGAGUGCGUCAGAGGGGGGUGGAAUUCCGCGUGUAGCAGUGAAAUGCGUAGAGAUGCGGAGGAACACCGAUGGCGAAGGCAGCCCCCUGGGAUGACACUGACGCUCAUGCACGAAAGCGUGGGGAGCAAACAGGAUUAGUAACCCGAGUAGUCC